This is a long non-coding RNA of Brassica rapa (field mustard), 2149 nucleotides long. RefSeq lists it as uncharacterized. The record is from RefSeq and is a predicted model, not a curated record. NCBI's taxonomy places the organism in Eukaryota, Viridiplantae, Streptophyta, Magnoliopsida, Brassicales, Brassicaceae.
AUCUGCCCUAUAUUUAUGUCAUACUAACCCGGGUUCGAUCCUUUCAUUUGCAUUAUCUUUUUAUUUUUUACGAAAAAAUAAAUGAGAUGACUUGACAAUUUCGAAUUUUCUGAUUGGACGAUUUUUUGUGCCUACGUGGACACUCUAAAAGGGGCUUAUAUCCCCUUUUAGUAUAGUAUAGAUUAAAAAGGGAAAAAAUAAUUAACACGGUUAAUGGGUAUGACUUCCCUUUACCCUAAUUUUUUUACCCCCUCUUCUCCGCCGAAGCUUUAUUUCACUCCAUCCAUGGUGAUUUAGUGUUCUUGGAGAAAAUCAUUGUUUCGUCGGACCUUUCGUCUCUAACUUCGUUUUUGUCAUCCUCCCCUUCGUUCUCACACACGGAACAACGAAAUCGAAGUGUUCUUCCGCAAACAGUUUCGUCGGACGGUUUGGUUCAUUACGAAAUUGAAGUGUUCUUUCUUCAAUUUCAUCUGAAUCUCAUGUUUCUUCACACUAGGUUGAUUAAUCAUCUUAUACAUGAACAGAAACUGAAUAUGGUUAUUUCUGCUGUCAAAAGAGAGAAGGACUUUUUAUCUAAAAGUAGAGAAGUCUCGUGCCAUGACCGAGAUUGAUGAACGAAUGAAGAAGAAGUGAAAGAUUCAAGAAGAAUCAGGCAGCAAAGCUGAACCAGCACAAGUCUUCCCACCUAGGUGGUUCGUCAGUUCAGACAGAAGAUAGCAAUAAAAAAUGAGGUGUCUCAGAGAAAACCUGGCCUCUCCACAGAUGUUCUAGCAUCGGUUUUCGGCGGUUCUUAGAAGAUUAAGAAGAGGCAUGUGAAGCUAUUGCAGGUUGAUCAAAGGCUUUAAGUUUUUGAAGAGGCAUGUGAAGAUAUUGCACAUCGAACGUUCCAAACCACGAAACAGACAUGGCUAAAUUUUAAUAUAUUGCACACUUGGCCCCUGAGAUUAAUUCCUUUCUUAUUAUUUCCCCAUAACCUUUAUUUUGAAAAUUAUUCCUCGAUUUCGCCCCAAAACUUUUGGUUCAGAAAAUAUCUUUAAUGUUCGCCCCAUAACUUUUAAAUUUUACGGAAAUAUCUUUAUGAUUUCGCCUUAAAUUUUAAACGUUCACUUUUGAUUCUAUUAUACGAAAAUACAAUAUAUACAAAACUCAGAAAUUUAUCGUGGAGCAAUCCAAGAUUAGAUUUAAAUUUUUUAUUAUACUUGCUAGUAGUAAGUUAGUAUACAUAUCAAAGUAGUGUGAAUCAUAUGUGGUCUAGUGGUUUCUGUGUAUAAUUUUCUCUUGAAUAACUCGGGUUCGAGCGGAGGAAAGAACAAUUUUGAUGAUUUUUAUGACUUAGGAAAGAAUAUACACUUCGAGAAUUAGAUUAGAUUUUGUGUAGAAUUAGGAAACAUCUUUAACCAAAUAUGAAAGUUUCCAUAUUUUAUGGAUUUGCCUAGAAUAUAUAUCAUAGCUUACGCAGAACACAAUAGAGUAGAUGAGAAACAUAUUAUUCCUUAAGCGCCACAUAAGGUAAAAAGCAGAACAUGUUAUGGCACAAAAUAUGGAUAAGGUAUAUCACUGCGUUGUGGCUAUAUGUCGUUAUCAAGUUGUUGGUAUACUGAAGACAUCUUUCUUAAUUAUAACGUUUCAAAAAAUAGCUGCGUUAUGAUAUAUAAGAAAGUAUAGUUUACGUUGUAUACCCAAGAUAUAUCUAUGUAUAAAACUUAGUAUCCGAUUUCUAGACUAAGUAGAUGACCAUAAUGAGUAUUCUAAAUGUAUCUAGAAGAUAAAAUAAAAUAUGAUUCCACUUAAAAAAAAAAACUUUUAAACAUAUAUAUUGUCAUACUUAUGUUUCCAAUAGUUUUCAUAUUUUUUAAUAAUUUUUAAAUUCAAUUUAUUAUUUUUCUAAUAAAAUAAAGAUAAAAUAUGUCCAGAAUUGCCCAAAAUAUCAGAAGUCCUAGUGUGACAAAUAAAAGUUUAAAGUGUCUUAUUUUUCCAAUUUUCCUAAUAAAUAUUCAUAGUUUUCAUCACAUGCACUAUCAACCAAGUUUUACAAUUACCAAAAAAAAAACUGAAAGAAGAUGCGAAUAAAUCAAUCUUGGAACAACACUAAUACCACCAAUCUCCUAGCACCACCAAUAAAACCUAAACCAUUUAAUUAAAUUUUAAA